RNAcentral lists this long non-coding RNA (691 nucleotides) under Bos taurus (domestic cattle). RNAcentral describes it as "long non-coding RNA NONBTAT017197". The record is from RNAcentral. Lineage: Eukaryota; Metazoa; Chordata; Mammalia; Artiodactyla; Bovidae.
CGUUUUUGUCCAUUUAUUUAGAAAAAAAAUUAACAUGGGCAAAUGAGAUACCUCAGUGUUACAACAGAGUAUAGAAAUGUCUAGCAAUAGUCAAAUAAUUUGAUCUUUAAAUACAAAAUAACCACAUGAACACCUAAUAUACAGGUUUCAUCUGAAUACAUAUUUAUUAGAUAAAUAUUAGAGGCUGUCACAUCAUCUAACUACAUACAGUUUUGCAAGACUAGAAAUCACAAUUAGUUUUCUGACCAGUUUAAAGUAUGAAAUGAUUGCAUUGUACAGAGAUGUACAAAGACGAUGACGUCGCUGUGGGGGUUACUUCAGGCUGCACGGUGGGUUUGUGUUCAUGUGUGUGUGUCAAUCACCUGCGAUCAUGAUAUCAAAAAUUAUACAAAGGAUGAAUUUGGUUACAAUUUUCUUCUGAAAUCCCCGUUUCUUUUCAUUAUUUCCAUAGCACCCUAAAAACACACAGGUGGUGGGACUAGUACACUGAAGCUAAAUAGUACAUGUAGGUAAAAUAAAAACAAAAACGGAACAAAAAAAUUCCUUUCCACACAGAGUCAGAGUAUAUUACAUGAUGAGACAGAUGCGGAGAGAGACCUCACAGACGCUAACAGACAGGAUCUAGUUUUUUUUUCCCACAUUAAGAUGGAGUUCCAAGCCUUUUUGUUUUGUUCCGUAAAAUAAGAACAAU